Ribosomal RNA from Monopterus albus (swamp eel), 142 nucleotides. It matches the Rfam family "5.8S ribosomal RNA". From Rfam's summary of the family: 5.8S ribosomal RNA (5.8S rRNA) is a component of the large subunit of the eukaryotic ribosome. It is transcribed by RNA polymerase I as part of the 45S precursor that also contains 18S and 28S rRNA. Lineage: Eukaryota; Metazoa; Chordata; Actinopteri; Synbranchiformes; Synbranchidae. The record is from Ensembl.
AACUCUUAGCGGUGGAUCACUCGGUUCGUGCGUCGAUGAAGAACGCAGCUAGCUUCAAGAACUAAUGUGAAUUGCAGGACACAUUGAUCAUCGACACUUCGAGCGCACCUUGCAGCCCCGGGUUGUGUGUGAGCACGCGGUG